UCGAGGGGCAGCAUUUUAGUUUGCUUGCAAACUGAAGAUGGCGACCGGCGCAUGGGUGAGUAACACGUAUCCAACCUGCCGAUAACUCCGGGAUAGCCUUUCGAAAGAAAGAUUAAUACCGGAUAGCAUACGAAUAUCGCAUGAUAUUUUUAUUAAAGAAUUUCGGUUAUCGAUGGGGAUGCGUUCCAUUAGUUUGUUGGCGGGGUAACGGCCCACCAAGACUACGAUGGAUAGGGGUUCUGAGAGGAAGGUCCCCCACAUUGGAACUGAGACACGGUCCAAACUCCUACGGGAGGCAGCAGUGAGGAAUAUUGGUCAAUGGGCGCGAGCCUGAACCAGCCAAGUAGCGUGAAGGAUGAAGGCUCUAUGGGUCGUAAACUUCUUUUAUAUGGGAAUAAAGUUUUCCACGUGUGGAAUUUUGUAUGUACCAUAUGAAUAAGGAUCGGCUAACUCCGUGCCAGCAGCUGCGGUAAUACGGAGGAUCCGAGCGUUAUCCGGAUUUAUUGGGUUUAAAGGGAGCGUAGGUGGAUUGUUAAGUCAGUUGUGAAAGUUUGCGGCUCAACCGUAAAAUUGCAGUUGAAACUGGCAGUCUUGAGUACAGUAGAGGUGGGCGGAAUUCGUGGUGUAGCGGUGAAAUGCUUAGAUAUCACGAAGAACUCCGAUUGCGAAGGCAGCUCACUAGACUGUCACUGACACUGAUGCUCGAAAGUGUGGGUAUCAAACAGGAUUAGAUACCCUGGUAGUCCACACAGUAAACGAUGAAUACUCGCUGUUUGCGAUAUACAGUAAGCGGCCAAGCGAAAGCAUUAAGUAUUC
Molecule: ribosomal RNA, 816 nt
Filed under: uncultured bacterium
Lineage: Bacteria
Description: bacterial SSU rRNA
Rfam family: Bacterial small subunit ribosomal RNA
Source: RNAcentral